This 314-nucleotide long non-coding RNA is filed under the name Actinidia chinensis (golden kiwifruit). RNAcentral's name for it is "long non-coding RNA (ACHI_LNC007009)". Lineage: Eukaryota; Viridiplantae; Streptophyta; Magnoliopsida; Ericales; Actinidiaceae. The record is from RNAcentral.
GCGGGGCGGGUUUUGCCGAACCGAUGCGGGUCUAACAGUGUUAUGUGAGUUCAUUGUUUGGAUUUGAUUUUCUGUUCUAACCUCUAAUUUUUUCCGUUGGGUUUUUCUGGGUUCUUUACACAACAAUUUGAUGCACUAUGGUUGUUUGUUUUACUCCUCAGUCCUCAGUCAAAACAUUUGUAAUUUCGAGGUGGGUUGUAUUUGGGUAAUUGUGAUUUUGGAAUAGUUGCGUUGAAUUUGGAUACUUGUGAUUUUGGUGGAUGGAAUUAUGCUGUGAAUUCGACAAAAAGGUCUGUUUGGGAAUUGGAAAUUGG